Molecule: small nuclear RNA, 107 nt
Organism: Ictidomys tridecemlineatus (thirteen-lined ground squirrel)
Lineage: Eukaryota; Metazoa; Chordata; Mammalia; Rodentia; Sciuridae
Source: Ensembl
GUGCUCACUUCAGCAGCACAUAUUCUAAAGUUGGACUGAAACAGAAAAGAUUGGUAUGGCCCCUGUGCAAGGGUGACAUGCAAAUAUGUGAAGCAUUCCAUAAUAUA